RNAcentral lists this long non-coding RNA (343 nucleotides) under Malus domestica (apple). RNAcentral describes it as "long non-coding RNA (MDOM_LNC001887)". The record is from RNAcentral. Lineage: Eukaryota; Viridiplantae; Streptophyta; Magnoliopsida; Rosales; Rosaceae.
UCCAAUAUUCAUGCUCAUAUGAACUACAUCUACAACAUUUGAGAUGGCAAAUUUUCUAACAAAAUUUAUAUUCAAAGAAGCAAGAAUAAAGCUUGUAACAAUUACAACUUUUAAAUCACAAACUAUGAACUACAAAACCCAAAAGGAUUCACCAACUACUAGACCUAGGCUCUGAUACCACUUGAAGGAUUAUUUUGUGAAAACAUGUUCAUUUAAGCAACAUCAUAUAGCAUGCAAUUAACAAUUAAAGGCGGAAUCAUGCUAGCAUGCACUUAAAACCAAAACAUUAACCAAGAAAUUCAAAGCCUAGUAGAUUGGUGAACCAUUAAUCAACUCAAAACAA